AUUGAACGCUGGCGGAAUGCUUUACACAUGCAAGUCGAACGGUAGAGGGGGCAACCCCUCGAGAGUGGCGAACGGGUGAGUAAUAUAUCGGAACGUGCCCAGUCGUGGGGGAUAACGUAGCGAAAGUUACGCUAAUACCGCAUACGAUCUAAGGAUGAAAGCGGGGGAUCGCAAGACCUCGCGCGAUUGGAGCGGCCGAUAUCAGAUUAGGUAGUUGGUGGGGUAAAGGCUCGCAAAGCCAACGAUCUGUGGCUGGUCUGAGAGGACGACCAGCCACACUGGAACUGAGACACGGUCCAGACUACUACGGGAGGCAGCAGUGGGGAAUUUUGGACGAUGGACGCAAGUCUGAUCCAGCCAUUCCGCGUGCAGGAUGAAGGCCCUCGGAUUGUAAACUGCUUUUGUACGGAACGAAAAGGUCUCUCUUAAUACGGGGGGCUCAUGACGGUACCGUAAGAAUAAGCACCGGCUAACUACGUGCCAGCCGCCGCCGUAA
Molecule: ribosomal RNA, 496 nt
Filed under: uncultured bacterium
Lineage: Bacteria
Description: partial 16S ribosomal RNA
Rfam family: Bacterial small subunit ribosomal RNA
Source: RNAcentral